RNAcentral lists this ribosomal RNA (580 nucleotides) under uncultured bacterium. RNAcentral describes it as "bacterial SSU rRNA". It matches the Rfam family "Bacterial small subunit ribosomal RNA", at positions 102 to 677 of the family's 1533-position model. The record is from RNAcentral.
ACUGGUGAGUACAAGGUGACUAACGCACCCAUGAGUGGGGGAUAACCUCGGGAAACCGGGGCUAAUACCGCAUGGUCUCGUUGGGGCUUCGGCUUCGGCGAGUAAAGCAGAAAUGCGCUCGAGGAUCGGGUCACCUCCCAUUAGCUAGUUGGUAGGGUAAAAGCCUACCAAGGCAACGAUGGGUAGCUGGUCUGAGAGGAUGGUCAGCCACACUGGGACUGAGAUACGGCCCAGACUCCUACGGGGGGCAGCAGUCUAGAGGCUUCGUCAAUGGGGGCAACCCUGAACGAGCGACGCCGCGUGCGGGAUGAAGGGCUUCGGCUUGUAAACCGCUUUUGUUCGGGAAGAAGAUCCGGCUCGUGCAGUCGGGUUCGACGGUACCGGACGAAUAAGCCCCGGCUAACUCCGUGCCAGCAGCCGCGGUAAUACGAAGGGGGCUAGCGUUGCUCGGAAUCACUGGGCGUAAAGGGCGCGUAGGCGGCUGAUUUAGUCGAGGGUGAAAGCCCGUGGCUCAACCACGGAAUGGCCUUCGAUACUGGUUGGCUUGAGACCGGAAGAGGACAGCGGAACUGCGAGUGUA